AAUAUCAACACCAUCACUGAGUGAGAAUUGACACCACACUGCCUGCACUAAAGCCAGGUGUGUGUACCACUACACCAUCAGUGACCUUACGAUGGAACAAUUUUUAAAAACCUCACAUUUCUUUGAGAUUUAUUAGCUCUGUGCAGAAGAAUGACAAUGUUCGUCAAGCAUCAUUUAUGCUCUAUUUUUUACAUUCCACACUGGGGCCAGGUAGAGUAUGUUGUGUAAGAGUGUUUGUAUUCGGGGGCCUGCUGUCACACACCAAGCCAACAACACCACAGCAUGUGGUUACGUGGCUGACAAUGUGCUGGAAGACACCCACUGGUGCACGGCGUUCCGUUCGACAUCUUAGCAAGACUUCGCUACCUUGGCAUAGCGACGGCGUGUUGCUUUUGGAUGGAAGGAGGAAUCGUGGACUUUCCGGCAUGAAGACGACGCCAAUGAGAGCGGCCAGAGCGGGAAAGAGACACACCAGGAUAAAGAGUCUCCAGCUGUGCAUCUGGAACUCUGUGCCGAUGGCAAAGCCCCACCCUUGCAGCACAUGGAAGACAUUUCAUAACAAACCCUGCAACAAGGCCCAUUUGACCCCAAAUUUUCUUCAAAGUCAACAGCACGUACUGUGGUCGUUCAUCGAACAGUACAUUGGGGCUUGUUGAGGGAUGAUCCCCCAGGCGGUGAAGGAGGCAUAGAGGCCACCCAUCAUCCAGAACAUGCAGAGCCAGCUCAGAUGUUCGCCACGUUUGUCCAUCUGCAGGAACUCGGUGAAAAACUGACUUCACUCUGAUGCCAGCGAUCAAGAUGCCUGAAUAUUCAUGCAGCUGGAAUACGAAAUAAAGGUCAACGUCGUAAAACGUC
Molecule: long non-coding RNA, 855 nt
Organism: Syngnathoides biaculeatus (alligator pipefish)
Lineage: Eukaryota; Metazoa; Chordata; Actinopteri; Syngnathiformes; Syngnathidae
Exons: 5
Source: RefSeq, a predicted model, not a curated record